Molecule: long non-coding RNA, 2288 nt
Organism: Triticum aestivum (bread wheat)
Lineage: Eukaryota; Viridiplantae; Streptophyta; Magnoliopsida; Poales; Poaceae
Exons: 16
Source: RefSeq, a predicted model, not a curated record
CAUAAUUUUCAUUCAAUUCGUGAAACAAAAACGAAAACAUCCCGACGCCACAAACUUGUCUCUGUUUUCGACCUCCACCUCUGCUCCCAUCGUCACCCAACCCCAGCCGCCGCCCGCAACCCCGGCGACCCCUCCGCUCGCCUUCUCUCCAUGGCCGCGUAUCCACUCCAGCAGCGCCCCUCCCUCCUCGCGCUGGAAACCCUAGCCAGCCAUGGCGACCCACGGCGACCGUGAAUAUUUGUGGCGCUAAAAUAGAAAUAUUGGAGGGUGGUUCGGAGGGCACCAGGAGAGAGAUCGUAUCAGUUGUGCUCUGGAGCUUCUCCUCUUCACAGAAGUGCACGCACGCGUGGGUCUGCACACAUUAGAAACAGCCAGACUCUGUUCUUGUCCUCUGUAUUCGGCGUCGUCGGUUAGGAAACAGUAGGUCAAAGUGCAAAGCUUGUGGUCUCCUGCAGCUCCGACCCGUCCUUGCCGCUGCUACCACUGCUCUGCUCCAUGUGUUUAUCCCGCCAAGGAGCGCAGACGCCGCCAGGGUGGGGUGGCUGCUGUUGCGCCGACGCAGCAGAGGACGCUCAUCUCCGUGCGCUCUCUUCUUUUAACUCAGGGGAAAUGCGAUCGGGCGGCGCUAAGCAAAAGAAAUGGAACUAUAAUUAAACAAUUAAGUUAAGUCUUGUCCUGUCUUUGAUGGCUUCUGAUUUUUCUUCUUGUAAUCAUCGCCCAGAUAUUAUUUACUCCCAAGAUGGAGGCCUUGGUGUUAGGACCAUACGGCUGUUAAUCUCUCUCUUUUAACUGCAGCAGAGCAUGGAGAAUUGUCCCCCAACAAGAUACAACAGCAGUAAAAAAUUUGAAGGCCAACUAUUUCCCUGACACUUCCUUCUGGAGAUGCAAUGCAGCAUGGAGAAUUGUCUUCAAACAAGACACCACAACAAUAAAAAAGUUGAAGGCUAACUAUUUCCCAGACACUUCCUUCUGCAUAUGAAGGCUAACUAUUUCCCAGACACUUCCUUCUGCAUAUGCAAUGGAAGUAGUUGCAGCUAUUCAGUUUCAUUGUUUAGACAAUGGCAUGCUGUAUAAAUAUCACAUGGUUGCAACUGUUGCUGCAGUCCAAGAGAAGCAAAACAGAUUCAUAUCAGUGAGUAGAAUGCAUAAAGUGCCAAAAUAGCACUGUCAGUUGUAUCUUGUGAGAAAAAAGGGGCACAAUUGUCGCAGAUUCAAACAGGAAAUUAUGUGCAUUGGAACCAAAACUUUGCAUAAGAUUCGAUCCUCAAUGGCUUCUUGCAGGAACGACGUUUAGUCCUCCUGUUAUCACGAUUAUCCCACCGCUCUCCAGCAGCUCCGACCCCUAGUGCUGGCUGACGCCAUGGAAGAACAAUUGCAGCCAACUGUGUUUGUUGGCACUCAAAACUUGACUGUUUCACUUGCAUCUAGACAACCUAUGGAGCUGUGCAAUUAUGCGUAGACUAUUUCCAAGAUGGACUAAGCUAGUAUGUAUACUAGUGCUGGCCAUUGUUUUACUGCUUGUGUGAAGAGGGCCGGCCAAGGAGAAGCUGUUGCUACGUGGGGGUUCAAGGUCAACUUCAUCACUAUCAACCAAGCAGCAGGCACACUCCAUCGACGACCGGGACCCCAUGCCCAAGCUGACGAGGACGACACCGUCGAGUCCAACAAUCUCGACCAUGACGACGACCUGCACAAGAUGGACUAGUAUGUAUACUAGUGCUGUCUAUUGGCCUUACUAAUUGAGUGAAGAUGGUCAGCCAAGAAAGAAUCUGCUGCUGCGGGGGUUGAAGGUUAACAUCACCACCAUCAACCAAGGGAGGGACCUGACUUGAUGGCCAUCUCCGGCGAGCUCGCACCCCUGCACCACCACAUCGGUGACUACAACAUUGAGUUGAACGGCAGUGGGCUUACGACAAGGCCAUACCCACUCGACUGCAGUGGCGAGUAGGCGGUGACCAACUUGGAGCCCAAGACGGCGGCUACAUGGGUUGCGCGUCCCUGCACCCUUGGUUUAUCACAGCGAGGUGGGAAGAUUGAAGCGAAAGGUAGAACCAGGAAUGGUAAAGGCAGGCGCGAACAAACUGGGUGGUCCAAGCUACAGCAGGUCUGCACCAACAGCAAGUGCCAAUGAAAUAGGAUGUUCCUCCUGCCUUGUGUCGCCCUGCUCGGAGUAGGUUGAUCCUGGUGCUGAUGUUUAUUCUGUUUUCGUGACAAUGUUUUGUUGCAUAACUAAGCAGUUGGAUGAACUCCGUAUUACUGGAAGCCCAAACAUCUAUUUCUAAUGUUCC